UACAGAGGUCCCAAGCGUUGUUCGGAUUCACUGGGCGUAAAGGGGGCGUAGGCGGCGCGGUAAGUCGGGUGUGAAAUCUUGGAGCUUAACUCCGAAACUGCAUUCGAUACUGCCGUGCUUGAGGACUGGAGAGGAGACUGGAAUUUACGGUGUAGCGGUGAAAUGCGUAGAUAUCGUAAGGAAGACCAGUGGCGAAGGCGGGUCUCUGGACAGUUCCUGACGCUGAGGCACGAAGGCCAGGGGAGCAAACGGG
RNAcentral lists this ribosomal RNA (253 nucleotides) under uncultured bacterium. Its description in RNAcentral is "partial 16S ribosomal RNA". It matches the Rfam family "Bacterial small subunit ribosomal RNA", at positions 524 to 776 of the family's 1533-position model. The record is from RNAcentral.